RNAcentral lists this non-coding RNA (29 nucleotides) under Rattus norvegicus (Norway rat). Lineage: Eukaryota; Metazoa; Chordata; Mammalia; Rodentia; Muridae. The record is from RNAcentral.
UACUUCUUAGUCACCUUUCUGAGCCAUGC